GCGGAGUCAUGCCACUUUCCUGUGAGGCCGCUGGAAUCUGGGAGGGUUGGAGCGGAGCUGGGACGCCGUUCGUGGUGGGGUUUUUAAACGUUCGAGACAGUUAAAGGAAGAACGGGCACUGUGACCUUUGAGGAUUGGAUUUCUAUUUCUCCUCAAGAAUGGGAUCUCCUUGAUGAGGUUCAAAGAUGCUUGUACCCUGAUGUGAUGGUGGGAAAAUUGGCACUUAUACUUCUCUGGGUAAAGUCUUUACACCUGCUUCUGUGCUCUGAGGUAGCCUCUGCCCUUCCCUUCCUCCUCAGCAGCAUAUCAGGACUAUAGGCUCAACUUCCUCCCCAGUUCCCUUGGUAGGUGCUUUGAUUUCAGGGCUGCAGUGUGAACACUGCUCUUUUCUUGGACAACCCCAGCUUCUGUGAAGCCCAUGCCUGGCUGUAGAGGAUGCAGGUUGAGGGGGCUUGCAGUCACCCUAAUGGGUCCCCCUUACUUCCCUCUUGCUGACAGUGGCCUUCCCAUAUCCAGUGCCCCAUGUCUUCUAGGUACUGCUUCCCAUUUAUAACUAACAUCUCCUCACCCUGCCUGUGCAGCACUGCUGGUACCUAGGUGCUGGCUCCUCAGUAGACCAUGAGCUGUUCUUUCAGCAUCCUCCCUGAAGUUCUUUUGUGAUGAUGUUUUCCUUUCCUGCAGGCUGCUAUGUGCUGAACUAUGCUGGCUGGUGUCCCCUUGCCUCUCCUGUUUUUCUCUUACUACCUGCAUCAUCUGGAUGCAGUGUGAUUUUUUUUUUUAAUCCUGUGGUGGUUGGUGGUGUGGAAUAGAGGACGAGGAGGCAACUUCUGAGCAGAGUGUUUCUGUAAGAGGAAGUGUCACAGAUUAUGACUCCCAAGUCAGUUCUAUCUCUCCAAGAGACCAACCUCUGUGAGAUGUGUGGCCUUAUCUUAAAAGACAUCCUUCACUUGGCUGAGCAUAAGGAAGCACACCACAAGCAGAAAAUGUGCAUGUGUUGAGCAUGUGAGAAACAAUUCUAUUUCAGUACAAAUUUUCAGCACAAGAAUCAGCAUAUUGAAGAGAAGCCAUUCAGAAGUGAUAUGGGCAGAACCUCAUUUGUGAAGAACUGUAAAUUCCAUGAACCAGGAAGGCCUUUAUACACAGGGAGGUUGGAAGUGAUUUCCUGACCAGCUUGGAAUUUCUCCAUCAACAGUCUUCUUCCUGUGGAAAAGUCAAAUAGCAAAACCAAGUAUGGUGCUGCCUCUCGCAGGAGAAAGCUCAUUGUAACUGGGAAGAAUGUGAUGAAGUGUUCAUCCCCAAACACACACUUACUUGUUCAGCA
Molecule: long non-coding RNA, 1321 nt
Organism: Marmota monax (woodchuck)
Lineage: Eukaryota; Metazoa; Chordata; Mammalia; Rodentia; Sciuridae
Exons: 3
Source: RefSeq, a predicted model, not a curated record